Molecule: ribosomal RNA, 199 nt
Filed under: Staphylococcus succinus
Lineage: Bacteria; Bacillati; Bacillota; Bacilli; Caryophanales; Staphylococcaceae
Description: partial 16S ribosomal RNA
Rfam family: Bacterial small subunit ribosomal RNA
Source: RNAcentral
UUUAUGGAGAGUUUGAUCCUGGCUCAGGAUGAACGCUGGCGGCGUGCCUAAUACAUGCAAGUCGAGCGAACGGAUAAGGAGCUUGCUCCUUUGAAGUUAGCGGCGGACGGGUGAGUAACACGUGGGUAACCUACCUAUAAGACUGGAAUAACUUCGGGAAACCGGAGCUAAUGCCGGAUAACAUAUAGAACCGCAUGGU